GGCGACUGAUGCAAGAUGAGGUAGUAUUGAUGAACAAACGCAUUAGCAACAACAUCAGGAGGAACUGAGGCUUGCUGGACCGACGUUGCCAUCACCGAUGAAAUCUCUGAGGUCAGAUUUGCAGCAAGCGAGCGAGGUAAGAGAAAGAUGGUGAUUAGCUCUGCUACUAGCUGUGUCUUUCUCUCACCUCCCCUUAUGGUGAUAGUGAUG
This 210-nucleotide unclassified non-coding RNA is filed under the name Hevea brasiliensis (rubber tree). The record is from RNAcentral. Lineage: Eukaryota; Viridiplantae; Streptophyta; Magnoliopsida; Malpighiales; Euphorbiaceae.